This 266-nucleotide long non-coding RNA is filed under the name Capsicum annuum. Its description in RNAcentral is "long non-coding RNA (CANN_LNC013947)". Lineage: Eukaryota; Viridiplantae; Streptophyta; Magnoliopsida; Solanales; Solanaceae. The record is from RNAcentral.
GUGUGUUGAAUUACGGUUCAGACUAGUAGUACAGUGUUAUGUGGUGUAUGCUAUGAUUGUGGGUUAGGCUUCAAGAUGGUGACGAAAUUUAGUUCAAUUUAGACAUGAGUAGAAGGAAAUAUCAACGGCCUUGUUAGAAUUUGAAGAUGGAUCAAUAAGUAUGGUUUUUAGGGAAAAGGAAUAGUUGAUAGAAUAUUUUAGAAGUGCGUCUAAGUUUUAAGUAAGGUGAUGCAUUUCCUAAAGCCAAGUAAAUUCUAACCCCCCCC